GCACAAGCAGUGGAGUAUGUGGUUUAAUUCGAAGCAACGCGAAGAACCUUACCAGGUCUUGACAUCCAACUAACGAGAUAGAGAUAUGUUAGGUGCCCUUCGGGGAAAGUUGAGACAGGUGGUGCAUGGUUGUCGUCAGCUCGUGUCGUGAGAUGUUGGGUUAAGUCCCGCAACGAGCGCAACCCUUACCAUUAGUUGCUACGCAAGAGCACUCUAAUGGGACUGCCGUUGACAAAA
This 237-nucleotide ribosomal RNA is filed under the name uncultured bacterium. RNAcentral's name for it is "partial 16S ribosomal RNA". It matches the Rfam family "Bacterial small subunit ribosomal RNA", at positions 923 to 1163 of the family's 1533-position model. The record is from RNAcentral.